RNAcentral lists this ribosomal RNA (301 nucleotides) under uncultured bacterium. Its description in RNAcentral is "partial 16S ribosomal RNA". It matches the Rfam family "Bacterial small subunit ribosomal RNA", at positions 509 to 807 of the family's 1533-position model. The record is from RNAcentral.
CAGUCGCCGCGGUAAUACGAAGGGGGCUAGCGUUGCUCGGAAUCACUGAGCGUAAAGGGUGCGUAGGCGGGUCUUUAAGUCAGGGGUGAAAUCCUGGAGCUCAACUCCAGAACUGCCUUUGAUACUGAAGAUCUUGAGUUCGGGAGAGGUGAGUGGAACUGCGAGUGUAGAGGUGAAGUUCGUAGAUAUUCGCAAGAACACCAGUGGCGAAGGCGGCUCACUGGCCCGAUACUGACGCUGAGGCACGAAAGCGUGGGGAGCAAAUGGGAUUAGAUACCCCGGUAGUCCCUGUCUCUUAUAC